GCUGCCUCUGAUUUCAGUGAGAAAGGCAGAAAUUUAUAGGGGACUGUAGAGCAGGGACAGGUUUUCAGUUUUCUAAAUUGAGGUUUUAACUGGCCAACUUCUGAAGGUUUAAGAAACCAGAGCUGAGCUGUGGGAAGCUGGUUUCUUUUCCGGUCAGAACAAAUAAACACAAAAACACAUAUCUAACUCACAAAGUGUUAGAAAUAAACCAAUGCUCUUAGCAGAAGAAGAAAACAAAAAAGUCAGCCUUGUGGGCAACAGAGGGAAAGUCGUAUUCGCCAGCAGGCAGCACCCUAUGCUGGCAGAGGGAGAAAUGUGAGCCUCAGCAGCUUUGGGGCAGGAUUUGCACAAAGUCUCCCGUUUCAAGUUGCUUGUCUCCAGAGCCCCGGGGAAGGCGCCCAGCCCUCGUCUCCCUUCCAAAGCCCCCAAGGAUUGAGGAGAAACUCCCUUCUACCACCCACAGGACACGCAGGGCACCAGCAAAAGGACACCAAGUUAACAGAAGCCACCAACCAAGAAGGCAAUUCUAACAUCUACAGUAGGAAAGAAAACAGAUCCCGAUCCCAAAGCCUCACUCUGUGGACAAAUACUACAGGUUUUCCUGUGAGCAGAGCCACUGGCCCAGAACGGCAGGGAGCACCUAGCUCUGCAGUUGGCGAGAUGAUGACACUGAGUUUCAGAGAGACUAAGUGUGCCCACAAGAGGACGAUCAACAUCUAGAGGCCAGGCCUCCUGGCCCCAAUCCAGGACUCUCCUCUCCUCAACUGCAGACUCAUGAUCCAGCUUGUGGACUUUGAACAUCCAUAAGCCAUGUUGUCAUGUGACGGCAAGAUUUCA
Molecule: long non-coding RNA, 837 nt
Organism: Rhinolophus ferrumequinum (greater horseshoe bat)
Lineage: Eukaryota; Metazoa; Chordata; Mammalia; Chiroptera; Rhinolophidae
Exons: 3
Source: RefSeq, a predicted model, not a curated record